UACAGAGGUCUCAACCGUUGUUCGGAUUCAUUGGGCGUAAAGGGUGCGUAGGCGGUCGCGCAAGUCGGAUGUGAAAUCUUAGGGCUCAACCCUGAAACUGCAUUCGAUACUGCGUGGCUCGAGUACUGGAGAGGAGACUGGAAUUUACGGUGUAGCAGUGAAAUGCGUAGAUAUCGUAAGGAAGACCAGUGGCGAAGGCGAGUCUCUGGACAGUUACUGACGCUGAGGCACGAAGGCCAGGGGAGCGAACGGG
Molecule: ribosomal RNA, 253 nt
Filed under: uncultured bacterium
Lineage: Bacteria
Description: partial 16S ribosomal RNA
Rfam family: Bacterial small subunit ribosomal RNA
Source: RNAcentral